Long non-coding RNA from Etheostoma spectabile (orangethroat darter), 814 nucleotides. RefSeq lists it as uncharacterized. NCBI's taxonomy places the organism in Eukaryota, Metazoa, Chordata, Actinopteri, Perciformes, Percidae. The record is from RefSeq and is a predicted model, not a curated record. The transcript is spliced from 3 exons.
AAGUAAUUAUAAAUGAAAUAUAAUGGUUGGUUCAUUUUAGGACAACUGAACUUUAAUAAGAAAAUUGUUUUACACAUUUCAGCGUAUGAAAUCUGGUUUACUAAUAUAAACAUGUCUGGUUUAGGAUAUGUAUUACUCCUGAGUAGCUGAGACAUGAGCGUCACAUUUCUAAGUUAUCCAGUAACAAGCCUUCCCCUAACAGCUGUCAUUGACCUGGACUCAACUGGGCUAGCUAGCUAGCUAGCCAAGCAAGGAGUGGUGGUAACUUUCGGUAACUGGAUAUAUAACAUGGACAAACAUGUUUCUGGAACAAUCUGGGAGGACCCUGAACCUGUUGAGGCCACAGCUUAACACAACCUGUCGUAUCUAUCGACUUUCCUGUCUAAAAGUGCUAUUAUGGGGAGACCAAGGCACGUUUUCAAUAAAAAAUGAUUACAGCUCUCCGUAGGAUGUCGGAGUAUCAUCUGCGUUGCGUUUGGCGUGAGCAUCGGUGAGACCAGUAGGAUGUAAACAGAAGUGCCCCUGCCUGAGAUGCAGUCUGGCAGGUCCGCCCGCAGAGACAAAAGCAUCAGGCUGUGUCAUGCAAGCUGUGACCCUUGCCACUGUGUCUGGGCACACAGUGUCAGUCUGAAUCUGUCCCUGUAUCAGUUUCUGAGUCAACAUGGCUUCUGGGAUAAUAACACUAUCUCAUUAAUCACAUUGUACGCCUCCCCCCUUUGUCCGAUCAACUCUACAUCGCCUGGCUUAGGGAGUAUGUGUCUCUGGCUUGUGAAUGUAAUGCCCGGAUGACAUUUAACCUCAUUUAAGAUUUUAG